RNAcentral lists this unclassified non-coding RNA (380 nucleotides) under soil metagenome. RNAcentral describes it as "partial contains 5.8S ribosomal RNA, internal transcribed spacer 2, and large subunit ribosomal RNA". The stretch from base 1 to 120 matches the Rfam family "5.8S ribosomal RNA", at positions 35 to 154 of the family's 154-position model. The record is from RNAcentral.
GAUGAAGAACGUAGUGAAAUGCGAUAAGUAAUGUGAAUUGCAGAAUUCAGUGAAUCAUCGAAUCUUUGAACGCAUCUUGCACCCUUUGGCAUUCUGAAGGGUAUGCUCGUUUGAGUGUCAUUGUACUCUCACACUCCCGAUCUUUGCAUUGGGAGCAGUGGACUUGGGUUUGCUGCUUCACCGUCGCUUACCUCAAAUAGGUUAGUGCAACUCUUGGUUGGACAUAGUACGGCGUGAUAAGUGUUCUUCGCCGGUGCCUCGCAAAGAGGGUGGCCGAUCGGGAUGUUGUGCUCCAAACCGUCUUCGGACAAUCUCUGACGACUUGACCUCAAAUCGAGUAAGACUACCCGCUGAACUUAAGCAUAUCAAUAAGCGGAGGA